Molecule: ribosomal RNA, 413 nt
Filed under: uncultured bacterium
Lineage: Bacteria
Description: bacterial SSU rRNA
Rfam family: Bacterial small subunit ribosomal RNA
Source: RNAcentral
GUGUCAGCAGCCGCGGUAAUACGUAGGUGGCAAGCGUUGUCCGGAUUUAUUGGGCGUAAAGCGAGCGCAGGCGGUUUUGUAAGUCUGCUGUGAAAGCCCUCAGCUCAACUGAGGAAGUGCAGUGGAAACUACAAAACUUGAGUACAGAAGAGGAAAGUGGAACUCCAUGUGUAGCGGUGAAAUGCGUAGAUAUAUGGAAGAACACCAGUGGCGAAGGCGGCUUUCUGGUCUGUUACUGACGCUGAGGCUCGAAAGCAUGGGUAGCGAACAGGAUUAGAUACCCUGGUAGUCCAUGCCGUAAACGAUGAAUACUAGGUGUUGGAGGGUUUCCGCCCUUCAGUGCCGCAGCUAACGCAUUAAGUAUUCCGCCUGGGGAGUACGACCGCAAGGUUGAAACUUAAAUAAAUUGACGG